This 331-nucleotide ribosomal RNA is filed under the name uncultured eukaryote. RNAcentral describes it as "partial 18S ribosomal RNA". It matches the Rfam family "Eukaryotic small subunit ribosomal RNA", at positions 1470 to 1796 of the family's 1831-position model. The record is from RNAcentral.
CCCUUAGAUGUUCUGGGCCGCACGCGCGCUACACUGUUCGACGCAGCGAGUCUUAACCUUGACCGAAAGGUUUGGGUAAUCUUCAGCAAAGUCGAACGUGAUGGGGAUCGAUCAUUGCAAUUAUUGAUCGUGAACGAGGAAUUCCUAGUAAGUGCAAGUCAUCAGCUUGCGCUGAUUACGUCCCUGCCCUUUGUACACACCGCCCGUCGCUACUACCGAUUGAAUGGUUUAGUGAGAUCUCUGGACUGACGCUGGCUAGGGGGCGACCCUUGGCCAGGCUGUCGAGAAACUGCUCAAACUUGAUCAUUUAGAGGAAGUAAAAGUCGUAACA